UCUCUGGCCCAACUGCAGCGAAGCAGGCGCAUCCUUGGCUGUCCGCGCCUGGCGUGGGGUCGGGGGGAGAGCUGAAGAGCUGGGCGCCCUUCCUUCUCGCAUUGUCCUGUGUCUUGCGCACCUUGACCCAGAGGCCUAGACAAUAAAGGCAGGAUCAUAAUUAGUAAUAUCAGAUGAACCACAAACACUGGAACCAGAUCUUUCCAUCACAAGAAAUUGCUUCAGAGCUUUCCAAUCUAUGCCUUGAGAGGGACAGACCCACCACAGCAACUCAGAAGCGCUAGAAAGUGGACAUUGGUCAAAUAUCCAACAAUUGGACUGAUUUUUGUGUGUAGCAAAGGAAUGUGCCCAUUGCAGAGAAACAUUGUCAUCAGAGGCCCAUUCGGAUGUAGACUGGAAAAAUAAACAUAGUAUUAGGAAAAUCUUAAGUGACAUUUUUUUUUGGUAAUUAACAAUAGUUUUUGUAAUUAGGUUCCAAU
Molecule: long non-coding RNA, 479 nt
Filed under: Equus asinus (donkey)
Lineage: Eukaryota; Metazoa; Chordata; Mammalia; Perissodactyla; Equidae
Description: lncRNA (ENSEASG00005037904.1)
Source: RNAcentral